UCACUCAGAGGCAUGUGAUAAGAUCGCCUGGCUGCUUUUUCCUAUGGGGGUAACCCUGUGCCUACAGAAAUGGUUGUCUCUCUGCAGGGGUCCCCCAGCUUCUUCUGGGUGUUCCCAGGACACAGUGGUGGCCCCCAGUGAACCAUGCCUUCAGGUAUUCACAUCAUGUGUGGUCCCCACCCCUUGAAUUUGAGCUGCACUUGUGACUUGAUUUAACUACUAGAAGUCUACAGAUGUGAUAUUCCUCUACUUCUAUUUUUGUGAUCCUUGGCUCUACAUGGAAAAGAGAAAAGUCACCUCUGCUUCCCAACAGAGUCCUGCCCCAGCUAACCUACCAACUGAAUACAAUCACAGGCCAGAACAGCAGAGGAGCUGCCAACGGAGCCCAACCCAUAAAACAGAACUGUCAGCAAUUAAAAUGACUGAUGUAUUCAGCCACUA
Marmota flaviventris (yellow-bellied marmot) is the source of this 441-nucleotide non-coding RNA. The record is from RefSeq and is a predicted model, not a curated record. NCBI's taxonomy places the organism in Eukaryota, Metazoa, Chordata, Mammalia, Rodentia, Sciuridae.